UCCUUGCUAGCUUAAAUCUUUAGAGCAUCGGUCUGAAGCACCGGGGGUACUUUUGGUGGUAGGAG
This 65-nucleotide transfer RNA is filed under the name Tanaisia sp. SS-2020. Its description in RNAcentral is "tRNA-Phe". The record is from RNAcentral. Lineage: Eukaryota; Metazoa; Platyhelminthes; Trematoda; Plagiorchiida; Eucotylidae.